Molecule: ribosomal RNA, 497 nt
Filed under: uncultured bacterium
Lineage: Bacteria
Description: partial 16S ribosomal RNA
Rfam family: Bacterial small subunit ribosomal RNA
Source: RNAcentral
GAUGAACGCUGGCGGCGUGCCUAAUACAUGCAAGUCGAGCGAACGGACGAGAAGCUUGCUUCUCUGAUGUUAGCGGCGGACGGGUGAGUAACACGUGGAUAACCUACCUAUAAGACUGGGAUAACUUCGGGAAACCGGAGCUAAUACCGGAUGAUAUUUUGAACCGCAUGGUUCAACAGUGAAAGACGGUCUUGCUGUCACUUAUAGAUGGAUCCGCGCUGCAUUAGCUAGUUGGUAAGGUAACGGCUUACCAAGGCAACGAUGCAUAGCCGACCUGAGAGGGUGAUCGGCCACACUGGAACUGAGACACGGUCCAGACUCCUACGGGAGGCAGCAGUAGGGAAUCUUCCGCAAUGGGCGAAAGCCUGACGGAGCAACGCCGCGUGAGUGAUGAAGGUCUUCGGAUCGUAAAACUCUGUUAUUAGGGAAGAACAUAUGUGUAAGUAACUGUGCACAUCUUGACGGUACCUAAUCAGAAAGCCACGGCUAACUACGUG